Molecule: long non-coding RNA, 959 nt
Filed under: Phoenix dactylifera (date palm)
Lineage: Eukaryota; Viridiplantae; Streptophyta; Magnoliopsida; Arecales; Arecaceae
Description: long non-coding RNA (PDAC_LNC016769)
Source: RNAcentral
AGGAUUAUGCUUCUAUGGAGGCUGGCUUGACGAAAUUGGGAUAAGCUUUAGAUAUUUGCUCGUGGAAAAGGAGCAGAAGGCAGCGAAAUUAUCUUAUAUUCUAUGUCUUGGUCAACUGACCAAUCAAAAAGAUAGGGUCUUAUGGAGAUGAAAUAGUUCUUGGUCUCUAUAAAAGACUAGUGUAAUUUUUUUAAGGCAGGAGUGCUUUCUCCCUUUAGAUAGAUUGUUUGGAAGAGCAGUUCACUGGAAAACAUCUAGUAGAAUAUUUACAAGUCCUUUCUCCCUUGUUUUCUGCUCUCUCUCCCCUACCGUUCUCUCUCUCUCUCUAUGAAAAGGCAUAUGCAUCACAUAUGCUAAAACUAGUCUUUAUAUUAAUAAUAUAUAAUGGAAAAGGUUUUGAUGUCGGUUUUAUACUACCCCCCAAAGCUUGAAGUCAGGCCUAGACAUAAUAAAAAAAGUAAAAAUGCCUUCCUCCACAUGCCCCCACUAUCUUAAUUUCUCUACAUCCUAGAUAGGAGAAAAAAAGAGAGAAAGAAACAUGCAAUCCCCUGCUCGUCACUUGCCCAUGCUCCAUCAAUGAAAAUUCAAGAAAAAUAAAACUAUACAUGCAUAUGCUAGACUCUAAUUAUCACAAUGGAAACUCUAUCAGGUACAUCCUCCUUCUUCAAGUUCCACUUCCCAUGGGCUGGAAUGAGCGCAUGGCUCGACCCUUUUAAUUUUUUUUUUUUUUUGAAUGGACCCAUUUUAUGACCUGUUGGAAUUUUCAGCUACAUAAUGCAAGAAUUAAUUUAUUCCAGAUUUAAAUAGCAGGUCAUUACAAAACGCAUAUGUGCUUUCAUAGGGCAACAUCAGACACUAUAACUAAUAAAUUCAUAGGGCAACAUCAGAAAGGAAAUGCCACCUCACCAACCACCAUUCCUCUCCUACCAACUGCCCCCACCCCACACAACAACAACAAC